Molecule: ribosomal RNA, 312 nt
Filed under: uncultured bacterium
Lineage: Bacteria
Description: bacterial SSU rRNA
Rfam family: Bacterial small subunit ribosomal RNA
Source: RNAcentral
GAUAAACGCUGACAGAAUGCUUAACACAUGCAAGUCGAUGAUGGGAAGCUAAGCCUAGCUUAGAAGAAGUCAUGGCGGACGGGUGAGUAACGUGUAAGGAACUUGCCCUCUAGACUGGGAUAACAGAUAGAAAUGUCUGAUAAUACCGGAUAUUAUUGUUACAUGGCAUCAUGUAGGAAUGAAAGGAUAAGAUUGCUAGAGGAGAGCUUUGCAUCCUAUUAGCUAGUUGGUAAGGUAGUGGCUCACCAAGGCGAUGAUAGGUAGCCGGCCUGAGAGGGUGGACGGCCACAAGGGGACUGAGGUACGGCCCUU